AUGUUGGGCCUCCUCUGCUUUGAUCUGUCCCCAGCUUCUGUGGCAGCUGCCCAGCAGAGGCCACCUGAUGUCACUUGGUUCGUUACCUGGAUGAAAGGGUGUCUCCCUCUCAGAGGAGCCGGAGACAAACAAAGGGACAGUGCAGAGCUGUCCCUGCCUGGAAGCCCCCUUCCAUUGCAGGCUCCGGCCUCCUGGUCCACAGAAAAUAACUCAACCCAGCGCGGAAUAAACUCCAACACUGAUCGGUUUUCAAGAAGUUAACCUAAGACAAAAUACUGCUAGAGGGCAGCAGCAAUUUGGAAUCAUUAAAGGGAACCCAUGUAAAUAAUAAAAACAAAACUAAAAUGCAGAAUUAAAUUAAGGAAUAGGAAAUUAAAUUUGUGAAUCUGAUCUGAAAUUGAGGCCCUAUAUGCACAGGCUUUACCCUGGCUUGGCUCUUUGAUCAGGAGGGCUGGGGCAGGAAGGUUCUGCAGAGGUUCCCAGCCCAGGGAAGCAGCGGACAGGAGUGCGCACACCAGCCUCGCCUCCUGGGGUGACAGUGUGCUGUCCUGGGAAGAGGGCUGUGGGCUCGCAGGGAGUAAAGGGACUUCCCUCCCACGAGGCCCUCUCGGAGGAAGAUGAGAGUCGCAUCAUCCCAGCUACUUCUGGAUGACUUAUAUCGAGUGCCAGUGACUAGUGAAGGAGAACCAACAGCCUGCAGCUGAGAGGCUGCGCUGCCGCCACUGGAGACUGCUCAGGAAAUGAGGCAGAUGGAUGCAGGCUGGCUACACCGAGAUGCUGAGAGCAGACACAGGCAGAGUGGCCUUUCCAGUCCCGCUCCACCCCGGUGUUCUGGUCACCCUCCCACAGAGCCUUCUUAAACGCCUGCAGCCCUGCCCCUGGGCCCCUAUUCAUCACAAUUACUGCUCCAACUGUCGGAGGCAGUGCAUGAAACGGCGCACGCUGACGUCCAAUAUUUUAUCACUAAUAAAGAGAAGCAUCCCAAGUAUUUGCACAGUUCUGAUACUUUCCAGCCCCGAGCCCAGGAAAAGGGGGAGCGUGGUAGAUUUAUGCUCACUGCCCGGCAUUGUUAAUUGGCCUUCUCGGCUAGAGCCUCUGGGACCGCUGGUCUCUGGCGCUUCACAACCACAGACUCCGGCAAGCCUGCGGGAAGCUGGCCGGGCGCGCGGCAGGCGGCCGGGGAGGGGCCCGCCGAGCACACAGUAG
Molecule: long non-coding RNA, 1206 nt
Filed under: Capra hircus (goat)
Lineage: Eukaryota; Metazoa; Chordata; Mammalia; Artiodactyla; Bovidae
Description: lncRNA (ENSCHIG00010022126.1)
Source: RNAcentral